AACAGGAUUAGAUACCCUGGUAGUCCACGCCCUAAACGAUGUCUACUAGUUGUUGGUGGAGUAAAAUCCAUGAGUAACGCAGCUAACGCGUGAAGUAGACCGCCUGGGGAGUACGGUCGCAAGAUUAAAACUCAAAUGAAUUGACGGGGGCCCGCACAAGCGGUGGAUUAUGUGGAUUAAUUCGAUGCAACGCGAAAAACCUUACCUGGCCUUGACAUGUAACGAACUUUCCAGAGAUGGAUUGGUGCUCGAAAGAGAACGUUAACAUAGGUGCUGCAUGGCUGUCGUCAGCUCGUGUCGUGAGAUGUUGGGUUAAGUCCCGCAACGAGCGCAACCCUUGCCAAUAAUUGCCAUCAUUUAGUUGGGCACUUUAUUGGGACUGCCGAUGACAAAUCGGAGGAAGGUGGGGAUGACGUCAAGUCCUCAUGGCCCUUAUGGCCAGGGCUUCACACGUAAUACAAUGGUCGGUACAGAGGGUUGCCAAGCCGCAAGGUGGAGCCAAUCCCAGAAAGCCGAUCGUAGUCCGGAUUGAGGUCUGCAACUCGACCUCAUGAAGUCGGAAUCGCUAGUAAUCGCGGAUCAGCAUGUCGCGGUGAAUACGUUCCCGGGCCUUGUACACACCGCCCGUCACACCAUGGGAGUGGGUUUUACCAGAAGUAGGUAGUCUAACCGCAAGGAGGACGCUUACCACGGUAGUAUUCAUGACUGGGGUGAAGUCGUAACAAGGUAACC
Molecule: ribosomal RNA, 732 nt
Filed under: uncultured bacterium
Lineage: Bacteria
Description: bacterial SSU rRNA
Rfam family: Bacterial small subunit ribosomal RNA
Source: RNAcentral